GGUCGCGUAGCUCAGCUGGAUAGAGCAUCUGCCUUCUAAGCAGACGGUCGAAGGUUCGAAUCCUUCCGCGAUCACCG
RNAcentral lists this transfer RNA (77 nucleotides) under Flagellimonas lutimaris. Its description in RNAcentral is "Muricauda lutimaris tRNA-Arg". It matches the Rfam family "tRNA". Rfam says of the family: Transfer RNA (tRNA) molecules are approximately 80 nucleotides in length. Their secondary structure includes four short double-helical elements and three loops (D, anti-codon, and T loops). Lineage: Bacteria; Pseudomonadati; Bacteroidota; Flavobacteriia; Flavobacteriales; Flavobacteriaceae. The record is from RNAcentral.